GAAAGGAAAAAAAAGCGGCAAAAUGUAAUAAGUCGGGGAAGAAAAUUUAGUAAGUGAUAGAGUGAAAAAUUGAAAUGGAAGUGGCGAAACAAAUAACCCAUAUUUCUCUCUCUUUUUCUCCAUUCUCCCUUAAAUCGCUCCCCUUCCCAUGGAGCCAUCUCCAUCCAAGAGCUCUUCUCUCACUUCUUUUAUGUUUACCCUCUCUUACAAUUGGAUCAUAAUCGUAAUAGCUAAGAUGUUUGUGAAAAUGCCUACUAAAGAUGGAAGCUUUGUAGAUUAUACCUCUAUGUGUAUGCACAUGGGCCUACUUGGGUAUUCUAGUAUAACCUGAAAUUUUUUGUUUUCUUGGCAUCACGUAGCCAAGGCUUUGCUGGAACAUCAUCCAAAGUAGGUGAGUUACUGUAACAAAAAGUUAAAGUAAAUGAUAUAUCAUUAUAAAGUUUAUAUUCGUAACUAAAUUUCUAUGCUUAUUAAUGUUUAUGUUGGUUAAAAUGAGGUUGACUGCAUUGUUUAGCUUUUCUA
Molecule: long non-coding RNA, 522 nt
Organism: Humulus lupulus (European hop)
Lineage: Eukaryota; Viridiplantae; Streptophyta; Magnoliopsida; Rosales; Cannabaceae
Exons: 3
Source: RefSeq, a predicted model, not a curated record